Molecule: long non-coding RNA, 845 nt
Organism: Biomphalaria glabrata
Lineage: Eukaryota; Metazoa; Mollusca; Gastropoda; Planorbidae
Exons: 3
Source: RefSeq, a predicted model, not a curated record
CGAAGCGUGCGAUGUGUACUGUGACUGUGCUCUCAGAGUUAUUUGAGCUUAGCCUAGAAUAGGAUCUAGAUCUAAUCCCCGAGUUAGAUCUAAUCCCCGCAUCAGCUUUUACUUUUUAGAUUUAGAAUGAAUAGAUCUUGAUUCUAAUUUGAUCUAGAUGUGUAUAAGUUAGAAGAAAAUUCAGCUUUAGAAACAAAGAAUAGAAUAAAAGCAUGGCGGUCCCUGCAAUAAUUUCACAUCUUUUGCCUGUACUGCAUUAUGAAGUUCAACAUCACUCACUUGGAUGAAAAGACCACACUGCUCAGGAAUGAAAUUGACCACCCUAGGUACCUACAUGUUAAAGUGAUUUCAAGCUUUCGUAUGACUGUUGAGUCCUGGCUUCUGUUGUACCCUGUUGACUUCUGCUAGGGGGGGGGGGCAAUUUAAAUGAAAAUGGAAUGAAAUUAGUUUUUAAGGAUAUAUGAUUUUCAAAUAAUGGAUCAAGCACCUUGCUUUACACUGACAUGUACACACAGUGUGAUUCAGUAUGUACAUUAUUGGAAACUAAGCUCUUCUUGUGCAAGCUAGUUUGAAAGGUGAAAUGAAAUUUAAUAUGAGACCAGGUUAGAUAUCUCUAUCUGCUUUGGAAUAUAUUCAGCUGUACAGAAUUUCACCAGCCUGUUCAGAUCCAAAUUUGAAAAUUUUAAAGACUUUCAAGCAAAUGAAUCUUCACCUUCCUUGUUGAAAGGUAGCAAUGUCUGUGUGUCUGUAACUCUUCUUGACAGCUUGGACAUUGGAUGGCUGACUGUAUGUGCUGGUCAUUGGUUGAAACUAACAAAUUUAAAAUGGCUUAAAAACAGCAAAAA